RNAcentral lists this ribosomal RNA (493 nucleotides) under bacterium enrichment culture clone ALO1_GLFRUDD03FRXN2. RNAcentral's name for it is "bacterial SSU rRNA". It matches the Rfam family "Bacterial small subunit ribosomal RNA", at positions 9 to 490 of the family's 1533-position model. The record is from RNAcentral.
GAGUUUGAUCGUGGCUCAGAUUGAACGCUGGCGGCAGGCCUAACACAUGCCAAGUCGAGCGGACGACGGGAGCUUGCUCCUUGGUUCAGCGGCGGACGGGUGAGUAAUGCCUAGGAAUCUGCCUGGUAGUGGGGGACAACGUUUCGAAAGGAACGCUAAUACCGCAUACGUCCUACGGGAGAAAGCAGGGGACCUUCGGGCCUUGCGCUAUCAGAUCGAGCCUAGGUCGGAUUAGCUAGUUGGUGGGGUAAUGGCUCACCAAAGGCGACGAUCCGUAACUGGUCUGAGAGGAUGAUCAGUCACACUGGAACCUGAGACACGGUCCAGACUCCUACGGGAGGCAGCACGUGGGGAAUAUUGGACAAUGGGCGAAAGCCUCGAGUCCAGCCAUGCCGCGUGUGUGAAGAAGGUCUUCGGAUUGUAAAGCACUUUAAGUUGGGAGGAAGGGCAGUAAGUUAAUACCUUGCUGUUUUGACGUUACCGACAGAAUAAG